Molecule: ribosomal RNA, 404 nt
Filed under: uncultured bacterium
Lineage: Bacteria
Description: bacterial SSU rRNA
Rfam family: Bacterial small subunit ribosomal RNA
Source: RNAcentral
UAAGGAAUUGUUCACAAUGGACGAAAGUCUGAUGACGCAACGCCGCGUGGAGGAAGACGGCCUUCGGGUUGUAAACUUCUUUUCCCAGGGAUGAUUAUGACAGUACCUGGGGAAUAAGGGCCUGCUAACUACGUGCCAGCAGCCGCGGUAAUACGUAGGGCCCGAGCGUUAUCCGGUAUUAUUGGGCGUAAAGAGCGUGUAGGCGGUUUAGUAAGACAAUGGUUAAAUACCCGAGCCCAACUCGGGGCAUGCCACUGUGACUGCUAGACUAGACGAUAGCAGGGGCAAGCAGAAUUCUCGGUGUAGGGGUGAAAUCCGUUGAGAUCGAGAGGAAUACCAAUGGCGAAGGCAGCUUGCUAGGUUAUAUGUGACGCUGAGACGCGAAAGCGUGGGGAGCGAACGGG